AUUGAACGCUGGCGGAAUGCUUUACACAUGCAAGUCGAACGGUAGAGGGGGCAACCCCUUGAGAGUGGCGAACGGGUGAGUAAUAUAUCGGAACGUGCCCAGUCGUGGGGAUAACGUAGCGAAAGCUACGCUAAUACCGCAUACGAUCUAUGGAUGAAAGCGGGGGAUCGCAAGACCUCGCGCGAUUGGAGCGGCCGAUAUCAGAUUAGGUAGUUGGUGAGGUAAAGGCUCACCAAGCCGACGAUCUGUAGCUGGUCUGAGAGGACGACCAGCCACACUGGGACUGAGACACGGACCAGACUCCUACGGGAGGCAGCAGUGAGGAAUAUUGGACAAUGGGCGCAAGCCUGAUCCAGCCAUGCCGCGUGCAGGAUGACGGUCCUAUGGAUUGUAAACUGCUUUUAUACAGGAAGAACACUACUUACGUGAAGUAGCUUGACGGUACUGUAAGAAUAAGG
Molecule: ribosomal RNA, 458 nt
Filed under: uncultured bacterium
Lineage: Bacteria
Description: bacterial SSU rRNA
Rfam family: Bacterial small subunit ribosomal RNA
Source: RNAcentral